AUGACUACUUUUAAAGAUGCUUUGAAGAUAACCUAUCCACUUUCAUUGCCAAAGGCUACUACUCCUUCUGAAAUACUUGUCGCACUUCAGUUGAUACCAGAUUUGGCAUAAGCUGACAUGUUGCGCUCUUAUGGGAAGUUGAUUCUUAAUGAGUGUUUGUUUGAAGCUCUAAUGGAGUUUCCCAUGCAAAUGAGGAAGACUUGGCUCCUAUUGUUUCCUUGA
RNAcentral lists this ribosomal RNA (222 nucleotides) under Triticum aestivum (bread wheat). RNAcentral's name for it is "partial small subunit ribosomal RNA". Lineage: Eukaryota; Viridiplantae; Streptophyta; Magnoliopsida; Poales; Poaceae. The record is from RNAcentral.